AAGAACGCAAGGUUUUGCCGUUUUCUGGAAAAAAAAAUGAGAUGCUUUUGACCUACUGUACCAAAAAUUGUUUACGCAGGUGAUGUUAUGAGAACUGAGACAUAUUGACUUCUUUUUACUUUUAGGAUCAUGUGCGAAAAAAAUGUAAAUUGCGUCCAUUACCAUGUCCAUACAAGUGCGGCGCUUUAAACCUGAGAGACGAGGAGAUGCAGGAUCAUCUUGAAACAUGUGUACGCUACCCAGUGAAGUGUCCAAACAACUGCAAAGAAGUGAUUCCUCGUGAAACGGUCUCAAGUCACAUUGAAGACUAUUGUCCCUUGACCAAAAUCCCGUGUUCAUAUGAAUGGAUGGGCUGCCGCAAAGAGGUAAAAUGUUUUGGCUAAGUUGAAUACAGCCACGUUAUGACAUUUCCCAAACGCCAAGGCAAGCUCUUUAGAGGAUUGGUUUU
Molecule: long non-coding RNA, 448 nt
Organism: Orbicella faveolata
Lineage: Eukaryota; Metazoa; Cnidaria; Anthozoa; Scleractinia; Merulinidae
Source: RefSeq, a predicted model, not a curated record